This 220-nucleotide unclassified non-coding RNA is filed under the name Hevea brasiliensis (rubber tree). Lineage: Eukaryota; Viridiplantae; Streptophyta; Magnoliopsida; Malpighiales; Euphorbiaceae. The record is from RNAcentral.
CUCGAAUAUCUUGUAUUUUGAAAUUCAAAGAGAACAGUAAAAAGAAGCACUUUUGAAAGCACCAACUUGAGUGGGAGUUUCUCUUCUUAAAUUCGAACACCAUUUUCAUGUAUGCCCUUUUCGAAUUUAAAGAGAAAUAGAGGAAGGGAGAGGACCCGUGGUUGCUUAAAGGAGAAGAUAAGAGAGAAGCGGCCAUUUCCAAGUAGUUACGCACAGAGAG